CAGCAGCCGCGGUAACACGAAGGGGGCUAGCGUUGUUCGGAUUUACUGGGCGUAAAGGGCGCGUAGGCGGGCCGAUAAGUCAGGGGUGAAAUCCCAAGGCUCAACCUUGGAACUGCCUUUGAUACUGGCUGUCUUGAGUAUGGGAGAGGUGAGUGGAACUCCGAGUGUAGAGGUGAAAUUCGUAGAUAUUCGGAAGAACACCAGUGGCGAAGGCGACUGACUGGACAAGUAUUGACGCUGAGGUGCGAAAGCGUGGGGAGCAAACAGGAUUAGAUACCCCUGUAGUCCCUGUCUCUUAUAC
RNAcentral lists this ribosomal RNA (301 nucleotides) under uncultured bacterium. RNAcentral's name for it is "partial 16S ribosomal RNA". It matches the Rfam family "Bacterial small subunit ribosomal RNA", at positions 509 to 807 of the family's 1533-position model. The record is from RNAcentral.